Prolemur simus (greater bamboo lemur) is the source of this 117-nucleotide small nuclear RNA. Its record names the gene U5. It matches the Rfam family "U5 spliceosomal RNA". Rfam says of the family: U5 RNA is a component of both types of known spliceosome. The precise function of this molecule is unknown, though it is known that the 5' loop is required for splice site selection and p220 binding, and that both the 3' stem-loop and the Sm site are important for Sm protein binding and cap methylation. Lineage: Eukaryota; Metazoa; Chordata; Mammalia; Primates; Lemuridae. The record is from Ensembl.
GUGCUCUGGUUUCUCUUCAGAACGAAGAAAUCGUUCACCUUUUACUAAGGAUUUUCGUGGCGAGGAACAGUUAUGAGUUAAUAACCAAAUUUCUUGAGGACUUGUUUACGCAAGGCU